GGGAACUUAGCUCAGUUGGUAGAGCAGCGGACUCUUAAUCCGUCGGUCGAGAGUUCGAAUCUCUCAGUUCCCACCA
This 76-nucleotide transfer RNA is filed under the name Comamonadaceae bacterium CG2_30_60_41. Its description in RNAcentral is "tRNA-Lys". It matches the Rfam family "tRNA". From Rfam's summary of the family: Transfer RNA (tRNA) molecules are approximately 80 nucleotides in length. Their secondary structure includes four short double-helical elements and three loops (D, anti-codon, and T loops). RNAcentral also lists the same sequence under 1 other name. The record is from RNAcentral. Lineage: Bacteria; Pseudomonadati; Pseudomonadota; Betaproteobacteria; Burkholderiales; Comamonadaceae.